UACAGAGGUCCCAAGCGUUGUUCGGAUUCACUGGGCGUAAAGGGUGCGUAGGUGGUCGGGUAAGUUUGAUGUGAAAUCUCCGGGCUCAACCCGGAAAUGGCAUUGAAUACUGCCCGGCUCGAGGGUUGGAGGGGGGACUGGAAUUCUCGGUGUAGCGGUGAAAUGCGUAGAUAUCGAGAGGAACACCUGCGGCGAAGGCGGGUUGCUGGGCUGACACUGACGCUGAUGCGCGAAAGCCAGGGGAGCGAACGGG
RNAcentral lists this ribosomal RNA (253 nucleotides) under uncultured prokaryote. RNAcentral describes it as "partial 16S ribosomal RNA". It matches the Rfam family "Bacterial small subunit ribosomal RNA", at positions 524 to 776 of the family's 1533-position model. The record is from RNAcentral.